This 253-nucleotide ribosomal RNA is filed under the name uncultured bacterium. RNAcentral describes it as "partial 16S ribosomal RNA". It matches the Rfam family "Bacterial small subunit ribosomal RNA", at positions 524 to 776 of the family's 1533-position model. The record is from RNAcentral.
UACGGAGGACGCAAGCGUUGUUCGGAAUCAUUGGGCGUAAAGCGCGUGGAGGCGGCCUUUUAAGUCGGAUGUGAAAGCCCGGGGCCCAACCCCGGAAUUGCAUUCGAUACUGAUUGGCUGGAGUCCCGGAGAGGAAGGCGGAAUUCCCGGUGUAGAGGUGAAAUUCGUAGAUAUCGGGAGGAACAUCAGUGGCGCAGGCGGCCUUCUGGACGGUGACUGACGCUGAGACGCGAAAGCGUGGGGAGCAAACAGG